CUAGGACUUUAUGUCCUCUAAAGCGCCGUUCGAGACUAGGACGUUGAUAGGUUGGAUGUGGAAGCAUAGUGAUAUGUGAAGCUGACCAAUACUAAUUGCUCGUGAGGCUUGACUAUACAACACCCAAGCAGUUG
Molecule: ribosomal RNA, 134 nt
Filed under: Acinetobacter baumannii
Lineage: Bacteria; Pseudomonadati; Pseudomonadota; Gammaproteobacteria; Moraxellales; Moraxellaceae
Description: partial 23S ribosomal RNA
Rfam family: Bacterial large subunit ribosomal RNA (bases 1-116)
Source: RNAcentral